AUAAUCUAUUUGGAAGAUGUCUUUUACCAACCAUGAUUUUCUUCGUGCUGCUUGGUUCAAUGAAUCAAUGUAUAUGGUGUUGUAUAAGUAAUAACCUACUUGUGCAUGUUCACUGACAAUAUUUUAUUUAUUUCACCCAUCGCUUUGGUAACUCGAUUCCUUGUCUGUUUAUAAGGCGUAUUGCGCCAGAUUUCCGAAGGAGACCUGAAACCGAAUAAAGGACAGCGGAAUGCUAUUAACGCCAAGACAGAAUUGGCUAACUGGAAUGUUCUUGGAAAAAGAAACCAACCGCCAGUGCUUGGUGUGGACACAAAUCUGACGGACUCCCUGCCGGACAUUCCCAUUCUCUGUUGGAGACUCCCAGUACCAGUUUUGUUUGCGCCUGUGAUAUCAGAUGACGUGGGAAACCAAUUCUUAAAUCUUCAACCUUGAUUCUUCCGUCCAUUUCAAAAUGGCGACCAGGAUCAUGUGCUGGUCGUCCAAGAGGAAGGGUGCUGGACGUACGUAGGUCGUCAGGGUGGUCGACAGACACUCUCUGUCGGACAGGGAUGCGAGGACAAACUGAUCAUCACUCAUCUGGUUCUCCAUACACUUGGCAUGUGGCAUGAGCACAACAGAGCUGACAGGGACGAGUAUAUCACUAUCCACCCAGAAAAUAUCGAAGAAGGUGCGAUGGUAAAUUUCCACAAAUAUCAUCUAAUGGAAGCAAAAGACAUUUUGCCGGUGAUCAAGAGUGGCAUCAACCCAGAAAUUCAUCCUACAACGGACACCAUCUUCCAAGUGCAUAAAAUCGAAAUAUCACCUCUUAUGAGCAAGAGCUAAUAAAUUCCAAAUGCCACCUAGAUAAAACACUGUUCCCUUACGACGUGUGCUCCCUAAUGCACAUCGGGCCAUUCAGUUACUCCAGUAAUGGACUUCCAGUCUUCAGCCCCAAACAGUGGCGAGGGCCUUGUUCAAAUUCCAACACCGGCGACGAAGACCUCGAAACGUUAUGCAAUAUGUUCAUUUAUCAGCUAUGGCACCAGUAUCACAAGGUCCUUGGUUGUGUCCCGCCGUCCGCAACAGUUCAGCUCGAGAAUGGUGACAGAAAGACUAUGAAAGAUCUGCCGAUCGGAGACAGUGUAAUGGUGAUGGAUGAAAAUCAGGAAAUGACCUUCAGUGAUGUGCAUCUAAUGAUACACAAAUUGGAUGAGGCGUAUGUCAAUUAUGUCAUAAUCGAAACGGAAAUUGGACAGAGAUUAACAUUAAGCAUGGAACAUAUCGUAUAUGUAUCCUCAUUCUGGAACUCACAGCCUUGGACGAGAAUGGCUAAGAAGGUAAAGUUUGGAGAUUACCUGUACCGCCCUGAAAUGUCAAACCGGACAUUUAGUCCGACCAAGGUGGUGUCUGUGAGGAAGGAAGUGAUGGAAGGAGCAUAUGCACCUUCUACACUAUCAGGAAACAUGGUGGUUGACGGUCAUCUUGCCUCUUCGUAUGUCUUUAUGGAGGAUCAGGGUGUGGCUCACGGGCUUUUUUUUGCCAUGGCGGUUGACGUAUAACAUACAUAACGCUGUGUUUGGAAGGUCACCUCAGGUUCCAGCUCCUGGUCUCCACUGGUCCGUGAGGGCCUUCCUGACAAUCUACUGUGCAGUAGUUGAACACGAAGUCUGUGACGGGUUGUCAAGCACGUUAUAGAACUGUAUAUGACAAAUCGGUUAAAUGUAUUAACUGCCCCCGUAUACCUUACACACACAAAAUUACAAUCUUCAAUCUUUUUAGCAUAUCAUUUUGAUUUUUGUUCAGAUGUAUAAUAGGUUCCAUCAUACUUAUGACUCCAUGGAGGUACCGGGUUGGAAUAGCUAGUAUUGAUCUCUGGUGACCUAUUCUCCUUACAAGAAAAAGCUA
Haliotis rufescens (red abalone) is the source of this 1884-nucleotide long non-coding RNA. RefSeq lists it as uncharacterized. The transcript has 5 exons. The record is from RefSeq and is a predicted model, not a curated record. Lineage: Eukaryota; Metazoa; Mollusca; Gastropoda; Lepetellida; Haliotidae.